UUGGGAGGACCACCUCAGAGGUAAAUGAUUGAAGUUUUGCAAAAGGAGCCUCUGUCCUGGCAACGGUGUAGACUCACUUGGCUGCCAAAUGCUGAGUCUGCCAUCGCUUGGAAUUCUGAGGAUGACUACAUAUGGAACAAAAUUGUAUAGCUGCUGUUACGUAAUAGUCCUUCUGCAAAAUUCAUCCUAGAGCUUAGGAAGAAUGAACGCUUGAUCCACAUCAUGCUGAUAUUAGCUGAAUUAUUUCUCACUUGAGUUCUGGUUUAACUUGUAGAAAUAGCAUGGUUUGUAAUGAAUCCAAACAAGAACUUUUGAAAGAUCCAGCUUGCUAACUGCGCUAAACAGCUUUCAAUCAAUUCCUGACUAGUUCUUAUAAAUGUUAUUUAUGUUAAGUGUCAUAGAUGUACAGCAUACAUAUGAAGGAAAAUAUUUAAUCCAUCCUUAAUAAACUCUUCUGAGCUGUGUUCUGGCUCUCUGAGAAACUUGUCAAGUUACAGUUUUCCUCAGCCCAGCAGAGGAGUAAAGCCCAACAAAAGAUGUUUAACACUGGUAGAUCACUCAGAYAGGUUUAAAAUGUUACAGUGCCAAUCAUUAAUCAGCCAGUUCAAGCAUGACAUAUUAUUCUCUUCAAUGUUAAAUGUUGCUAGGAAGUUAACCAAGACUUAUUAAAUUAUUUAUUUUCACUUAGUCAGUUUAGGUCUUGCAGGUGUUGUUUCAAAAUCCCUUGGGUGUGAGAGGAAUUUAAACCUAAUUGUGGCUUCUUUUGUUUGUUUAUAGAGCUCACACUUUUCACUUCUGUGUCUUUACAUUACCUGUGUAAGAAAUCACUCUUCUGUGAAAUUAAAAUUGUAAAAAUAACCAAGUUUAAAACAAAUAGCAAAAUUAUU
Malurus melanocephalus (red-backed fairy wren) is the source of this 887-nucleotide long non-coding RNA. RefSeq lists it as uncharacterized. NCBI's taxonomy places the organism in Eukaryota, Metazoa, Chordata, Aves, Passeriformes, Maluridae. The record is from RefSeq and is a predicted model, not a curated record. The transcript is spliced from 3 exons.